RNAcentral lists this ribosomal RNA (564 nucleotides) under Salmonella enterica. RNAcentral's name for it is "partial 23S ribosomal RNA". It matches the Rfam family "Bacterial large subunit ribosomal RNA", at positions 711 to 1271 of the family's 2925-position model. The record is from RNAcentral. RNAcentral also lists the same sequence under 1 other name. Lineage: Bacteria; Pseudomonadati; Pseudomonadota; Gammaproteobacteria; Enterobacterales; Enterobacteriaceae.
AGACCCGAAACCCGGUGAUCUAGCCAUGGGCAGGUUGAAGGUUGGGUAACACUAACUGGAGGACCGAACCGACUAAUGUUGAAAAAUUAGCGGAUGACCUGUGGCUGGGGGUGAAAGGCCAAUCAAACCGGGAGAUAGCUGGUUCUCCCCGAAAGCUAUUUAGGUAGCGCCUCGUGAAUUCAUCUCCGGGGGUAGAGCACUGUUUCGGCUAGGGGGCCAUCCCGGCUUACCAACCCGAUGCAAACUGCGAAUACCGGAGAAUGUUAUCACGGGAGACACACGGCGGGUGCUAACGUCCGUCGUGAAGAGGGAAACAACCCAGACCGCCAGCUAAGGUCCCAAAGUCAUGGUUAAGUGGGAAACGAUGUGGGAAGGCCCAGACAGCCAGGAUGUUGGCUUAGAAGCAGCCAUCAUUUAAAGAAAGCGUAAUAGCUCACUGGUCGAGUCGGCCUGCGCGGAAGAUGUAACGGGGCUAAACCAUGCACCGAAGCUGCGGCAGCGACGCUGAUGCGUUGUUGGGUAGGGGAGCGUUCUGUAAGCCUGCGAAGGUGGCCUGUGAGGGUU